Molecule: small nucleolar RNA, 137 nt
Filed under: Gopherus agassizii (Agassiz's desert tortoise)
Lineage: Eukaryota; Metazoa; Chordata; Testudines; Testudinidae
Description: Small nucleolar RNA SNORA61 (ENSGAGG00000004930.1)
Source: RNAcentral
CACCUCCAGAUCCCUUUCCCAUAAGAUCUGAACACUGAUCUCAUGGUCAAAAAAAAAGAGGCGAAGUAAAAUGCAAGUUGGUCUCAUUCUCUCUGCCAGAACAGCCCUGCACUGAGAGGGUCUGGCUUGGAACACAG